AUUGAACGCUGGCGGCAGGCCUAACACAUGCAAGUCGAGCGGAUGAAGGGAGCUUGCUCCUGGAUUCAGCGGCGGACGGGGGAGUAAUGCCUAGGAAUCUGCCUGGUAGUGGGGGAUAACGUCCGGAAACGGGCGCUAAUACUGCCUGCGACCUGCGGCUGCAAGUGGGGGAGCGUCGGACCUCUCGCUAGCAGAUGAGCGUAGGUGGGUUUAGUUAGUUGGUGGGGUAAUGGCCUUCCAAGGCGAGUAUCCGUAACUGGACGGAGUGAAGGAUCAGUCACACUGGAGCUGGGACGCGGUCAAGGCUCCUGAGGGAGGCAGCAGAGGGGAACGUGGGGCAAUGGGGGAGAGCCUGGUCCAGCCAUGCCGCGUGUGUGGAGAAGAUCUUCGGAUUGUAAAGCACGUUAAGUGGGGAGGAAGGGCAGUAAGUUAAUACCUUGCUGUUUUGACGUUACCAACAGAAUAAGCACCGGCUAACUUCGUG
RNAcentral lists this ribosomal RNA (484 nucleotides) under uncultured bacterium. RNAcentral describes it as "partial 16S ribosomal RNA". It matches the Rfam family "Bacterial small subunit ribosomal RNA", at positions 28 to 507 of the family's 1533-position model. The record is from RNAcentral.